Molecule: ribosomal RNA, 301 nt
Filed under: uncultured bacterium
Lineage: Bacteria
Description: partial 16S ribosomal RNA
Rfam family: Bacterial small subunit ribosomal RNA
Source: RNAcentral
CAGCCGCCACGGGAAUACGUAGGUGGCAAGCGUUGUCCGGAAUUAUUGGGCGUAAAGGGCUCGCAGGCGGUUUCUUAAGUCUGAUGUGAAAGCCCCCGGCUCAACCGGGGAGGGUCAUUGGAAACUGGGAAACUUGAGUGCAGAAGAGGAGAGUGGAAUUCCACGUGUAGCGGUGAAAUGCGUAGAGAUGUGGAGGAACACCAGUGGCGAAGGCGACUCUCUGGUCUGUAACUGACGCAGAGGAGCGAAAGCGUGGGGAGCGAACAGGAUUAGAUACCUGCGUAGUCCCUGUCUCUUAUAC